RNAcentral lists this ribosomal RNA (506 nucleotides) under uncultured bacterium. Its description in RNAcentral is "partial 16S ribosomal RNA". It matches the Rfam family "Bacterial small subunit ribosomal RNA", at positions 29 to 523 of the family's 1533-position model. The record is from RNAcentral.
AGUGAACGCUGGCGGUAGGCCUAACACAUGCAAGUCGAACGGCAGCACAGAGGAGCUUGCUCCUUGGGUGGCGAGUGGCGGACGGGUGGGGAAUACAUCGGAAUCUACUCUGUCGUGGGGGAUAACGUAGGGAAACUUACGCUAAUACCGCAUACGACCUACGGGUGAAAGCAGGGGAUCUUCGGACCUUGCGCGAUUGAAUGAGCCGAUGUCGGAUUAGCUAGUUGGCGGGGUAAAGGCCCACCAAGGCGACGAUCCGUAGAUGGUCUGAGAGGAUGAUCAGCCACACUGGAACUGAGACACGGUCCGGACUCCUACGGGAGGCAGCAGUGGGGAAUAUUGGACAAUGGGCGCAAGCCUGAUCCAGCCAUACCGCGUGGGUGAAGAAGGCCUUCGGGUUGUAAAGCCCUUUUGUUGGGAAAGAAAUCCAUCUGGUUAAUACCCGGGUGGGAUGACGGUACCCAAAGAAUAAGCACCGGCUAACUUCGUGCCAGCCGCCGCAGUAA